GUGAGGAAUAUUCGUCAAUGGGGGAAACCCUGAACGAGCAACGCCGCGUGGAGGAUGAAGGCUUUCGGGUCGUAAACUCCUUUUCAGGGAGACGAGAAAGGACGGUAUCCCUGGAAUAAGUCACGGCUAACUACGUGCCAGCAGCCGCGGUAAUACGUAGGUGACGAGCGUUAUCCGGAUUUACUGGGCGUAAAGCGCUUGUAGGUGGUUUUGUAAGUUGGACGUUAAAUCUCCAGGCUCAACUUGGAGAGGCCGUUCAAUACUGCGAGACUAGAGGAUGUCAGAGGAAGGUGGAAUUCCAGGUGUAGUAGUGAAAUGCGUAGAUAUCUGGAGGAACACCCAUGGCGAAGGCAGCCUUCUGGGACAUUCCUGACACUGAGAAGCGAAAGCUAGGGGAGCAAACAGGAUUAGAAACCCCUGUAGUCC
RNAcentral lists this ribosomal RNA (426 nucleotides) under uncultured bacterium. RNAcentral's name for it is "bacterial SSU rRNA". It matches the Rfam family "Bacterial small subunit ribosomal RNA", at positions 354 to 796 of the family's 1533-position model. The record is from RNAcentral.